UCUUCCGCAAUGGACGAAAGUCUGACGGAGCAACGCCGCGCGAGUGAUGAAGGUUUUCGGAUCGUAAAGCUCUGUUGUUAGGGAAGAACAAGUGCCGUUCAAAUAGGGCGGCACCUUGACGGUACCUAACCAGAAAGCCACGGCUAACUACGUGCCAGCAGCCGCGGUAAUACGGAGGUGGCAAGCGUUGUCCGGAAUUAUUGGGCGUAAAGGACUGGCAGGCGGUUUCUUAAGUCUGAUGUGAAAGCCCCCGGCUCAACCGGGGAGGGUCAUUGGAAACUGGGGAACUUGAGUACAGAAGAGGAGAGUGGAAUUCCACGUGUAGCUGUGAAAUGCGUAGAGAUGUGGAGGAACACCAGUGGCGAAGGCGACUCUCUGGUCUGUAGCUGACGCUGAGGAGCGAAAGCGUGGGGAGCGAACAG
RNAcentral lists this ribosomal RNA (422 nucleotides) under uncultured bacterium. RNAcentral's name for it is "bacterial SSU rRNA". It matches the Rfam family "Bacterial small subunit ribosomal RNA", at positions 362 to 775 of the family's 1533-position model. The record is from RNAcentral.